This 497-nucleotide ribosomal RNA is filed under the name uncultured bacterium. RNAcentral's name for it is "partial 16S ribosomal RNA". It matches the Rfam family "Bacterial small subunit ribosomal RNA", at positions 28 to 507 of the family's 1533-position model. The record is from RNAcentral.
GACGAACGCUGGCGGCGUGCUUAACACAUGCAAGUCGAACGGUGAAGCGCCUUCCUUUUUUGGGGGUAGGGGUGAGUGGCGAACGGGUGCCUAACACGUUAGUAACCUGCCCCCUAUUACUGGAUAACAGCAUGACAGUGUGGCUAAUACGGGAUAGUGUGGGUCUGUGGCAUGAUGGGUCUGGGCAAGAUAUUGUUUCGGUGGGUGGUGGGCUCACGGCGGAUUAGCUAGUUGGUGGGGUGGUGGCCUACCAUGGCGGGGCGGGGUAGCCGGUCUGUGAGGAUGAUCAGUCACACUGGAAGUGAGAAAAGGUCCAGACUCCUACGAGAGGCAGCAGUGGUGAAUAUUGGACCAUGGGCGGAAGCCUGAUCCAGCCAUGCCGCGUGUGUGAAGAAGGUCUUCGGAUUGUAGAGCACUUUAAGUGGGGAGGAAGGGCAGUAAGUUAAUACCUUGCUGUUUUGACGUUACCAACAGAAUAAGCACCGGCUAACUUCGUG